Molecule: ribosomal RNA, 497 nt
Filed under: uncultured bacterium
Lineage: Bacteria
Description: partial 16S ribosomal RNA
Rfam family: Bacterial small subunit ribosomal RNA
Source: RNAcentral
GAUGAACGCUGGCGGCGUGCCUAAUACAUGCAAGUCGAGCGAACAGAUGAGGAGCUUGCUCCUCUGACGUUAGCGGCGGACGGGUGAGUAACACGUGGAUAACCUACCUAUAAGACUGGGAUAACUUCGGGAAACCGGAGCUAAUACCGGAUAAUAUAUUGAACCGCAUGGUUCAAUAGUGAAAGACGGUUUUGCUGUCACUUAUAGAUGGAUCCGCGCCGCAUUAGCUAGUUGGUAAGGUAACGGCUUACCAAGGCAACGAUGCGUAGCCGACCUGAGAGGGGGGUCGGCCACCCUGGAACUUGUACACGGUCCAGACUCCUACGGGAGGCAGCAGUAUGGAAUCUUCCGCAGUGGGCGAAAGCCUUACGGAGCAACGCCGCGUGAGAGAUGAAGGUCUUCGGAUCGUAAAACUCUGUUAUUAGUGAAGAACAAAUGUGUAAGUAACUAUGCACGUCUUGACGGUACCUAAUCAGAAAGCCACGGCUAACUACGUG